GUACUUACCUGGACGGGGUUGACGGCCGAUCAAGAGGGGGCCGUGGCCUAGAUCAAUGGCUCACAUUGCACUUGAUGAGUGCGUUGGUCUACCAUCUCGGGGUACGCGUUCGCGCGGUCCCUGU
Molecule: small nuclear RNA, 124 nt
Filed under: Aegilops tauschii subsp. strangulata
Lineage: Eukaryota; Viridiplantae; Streptophyta; Magnoliopsida; Poales; Poaceae
Description: snRNA U1
Rfam family: U1 spliceosomal RNA
About the family: U1 is a small nuclear RNA (snRNA) component of the spliceosome (involved in pre-mRNA splicing). Its 5' end forms complementary base pairs with the 5' splice junction, thus defining the 5' donor site of an intron. There are significant differences in sequence and secondary structure between metazoan and yeast U1 snRNAs, the latter being much longer (568 nucleotides as compared to 164 nucleotides in human).
Source: RNAcentral